Molecule: long non-coding RNA, 1798 nt
Filed under: Homo sapiens (human)
Lineage: Eukaryota; Metazoa; Chordata; Mammalia; Primates; Hominidae
Description: REPIN1 antisense RNA 1, transcript variant 7 (REPIN1-AS1)
Source: RNAcentral
GCACACUCACGGUCACGCGCCCCGCAGGUGGAGCGGCCCCCCGCGGGCCCGCGGUGGCCCCGCGCCCCUGCCCCGGCCGUACCUCUGCGGCGGGCUGUGCAGGGACGCGGCGCCCGUCCAUGGAGCCCGAAGGCCGGCCUCCGCGGCCCACUCUCGCUCCCCGCCCCGCCGCGGCGACAGCGGCAGGUUCGAGUUCACAACUGCCAGGCCCGUCCCCAACCUCCCCCCGCCGGGUUCCCAGCGCCACGUGACUACAGGAGCUGCCGAGGAGAUGGGGUCUCACUGUGUUGCCCAGGCUGGUCUCAAACGAUCCUCCCGCCCCAGCCUCCCAAAGUGUUGGGAUUACAGAUGUGAACCACUGCAUCCGGCCUACCUUUUCAGUUGUUGAUAAAGAAAAUGAGUGGCAAAGGAGUUGCGAAGGGAUUCCUGAGCCUUUAUGCCAGCUGGAAGCUUAAGGCCUUGGUAUUUGAGACUUCACCCUUCAAAAUGUCUUGGAGGAUGGCCCAGCAACCAGCCAAAUGGCCCAAUGGCCUAGCCCAGUGGAGACGGUCUCAGCUUUUGACAAGCUAGCCGGAGAAAGGGCUGGACAGGAAGGGGCCCACUGGACAGCGAAUAUUGAUAGGGCCCCUGGGAGGAUCAAUUUUCCCCUCCAACAGUGCCUGGCUCCCAUUAUCAGAUUAGAUGCAAAGUGGGCUGGCAUGCCAGGGGGUGACAGGAACAGUGUCUCCAGAAAUCCUCUGUGAAGACACCCAAGUAUUGUUCAGAAGUGGCCCUGUAUCUGGAAGAGGGAAAACUGCACCCACUUCUUGCAGACAUACAGUUCCAGCUCCCCCCACAGGACUUGCUCAUACAUCCAACAAAUAUUUAAUCAGUGCCCACCAUCUGCCACUGUGCCAGGUGCCCGGCCUCAUCAUGAGUCAGGCAGAGGUGGUCUGUGCAGUUUUCCCACAAUGUGAGAGGGUGCUGAGAAGACUUUUAACGCUUAUUUAACUACGGAAAUAACUCUUGGUUUGGUACCUACUACAAAAUAAAAACAAGCGCUUGUUGAUAAUUUCUGGAUGGAUGACUGUGGAAAGCUGGAGGAGACUGAGGAUCAAUUUGCUCUAAUGAACCUUCCCUUGACUAUCAUCUCCGUUACCUCCUGCCGCAUCCCUACGGCAAAUAUGCAAGACUCUCACGCAGCUAAUUUCCAGGGGUUUGCAGUCUGGGGAGGAAGCAGAAAGCACAUCCCUCACUGACCCUGAGGAGGGGCAAAUCUCUGGUAGCAGUCACAGGUACGUGCUGUACACACUUCCCAUCCUUUGAGCCUUCCCAGCUGGAGAGCACCAAGAGAACGCAGUUGGGGAGGCCCCGAAAGAUGAAGGGUUGUUGAGCUUGAAGGCAGUGAAAAAGUAAAUGGAAGAAAGCUCUCUGCCCUCCACUGCCUAAAUGCAGGAUAUAGAUUUAGAAGGAUAAAAGGGGUCUGCUCCCUCUCUCGACCAGGGAAAAGUUAACCACUGAAGACAACUUUAGACUCUUAUGGGCCUGGAGCUGGAACCAGAGGAAUGGACAUGAAGGCGCUUUACUAACUCUAUUUAUCUGCCAGUUACUUACCUUUCUACAAGUUCUCCCCUUAGACACUCAAAGUUCUUUUCCUUUGUCCUGUCGCUUCCCUAAAACUUGGCUUUUCUUUGUUGAAGAUGCUAUACAAGCUGGAAUUCAAAGCUACCACUUUGAGAACUACUCAAUUCCUGCGUGUCUCCCAGGCAGAUGUGAAAUACACAUGUUAAUAAACUUCCACUGGUUUUUCUCUUGUUAA